This 388-nucleotide small RNA is filed under the name Pan troglodytes (chimpanzee). Its description in RNAcentral is "processed transcript". Lineage: Eukaryota; Metazoa; Chordata; Mammalia; Primates; Hominidae. The record is from RNAcentral.
CAAGAUGAAGAACAGUGGUAUUUCUCUGAAAGUCCCAGUAUGUCUCCCUUUUGUUGGGAGGUGACAGUAUGAUUUUGGGGGCAUCGGGCAUCAACAGUCACUGAAUCUAAAUGGCUCCACAGAUAGGGGAGUGUAUACAUCACCACACCAGCUGUCCAGGAAUUAGGAGGAAGUGCCCUUGAAUGACGCCUGGGCUGCAAGCCUGGUUAGCAGCCAGGGAGGACACACACACGUUGCAGGCAUCUCCUUGGAAACAAUGCCAUCUUUGAAUGUGAGAGAUAAACCUAGUUUCAGCAUGUCUGCAGCAGAGACCAGUACAUCAGGCUUAUUCCCACAGGAAGCCUCCUAAAGCCUGUGGCGCGGCAACCAUUUCCAGGACUAAAUAAUA